This 379-nucleotide long non-coding RNA is filed under the name Populus tremula. Its description in RNAcentral is "long non-coding RNA (PTRE_LNC001242)". The record is from RNAcentral. Lineage: Eukaryota; Viridiplantae; Streptophyta; Magnoliopsida; Malpighiales; Salicaceae.
UUCAAAACGCAAGGCGCUCUUUUACAUUGCUUGAUUAGGCUCUUGUUGGAUGACGGAAUUUAAGUGAGAGUUCUUGGAUUUGCUGUUUUUUCUGGUUUCUGAAUCCAUUAUCGCCAGUCAGAAUAGCCAUGUUGAUUGUAUCCAUCAGGAGAAAUGCACGGCUGCAAUUAAUAGUUGUUUUAUUUAAUGGGCAAUUAAUAGAACAUGAAUAUCAUUCUGUAAGCAUAAAUAAAAUAUUUUCUGUAUUUUGUUCCAUCUCAUCUCCUACUGUCAGACAACGACAUGAACAAAAAAUUAUGUCUUAUCUAUUAUUUUGUCUCCACAAAUCGGUCUCGUCUCUUGCAUCUCAUUUCCUAUUUUCUUGUCCACACAGUCAAUC